ACGGAAGGCAGCAGUGGGGAAUAUUGCACAAUGGGCGAAAGCCUGAUGCAGCGACGCCGCGUGAGUGAAGAAGUAUCUCGGUAUGUAAAGCUCUAUCAGCAGGGAAGAAAAUGACGGUACCUGACUAAGAAGCCCCGGCUAACUACGUGCCAGCAGCCGCGGUAAUACGUAGGGGGCAAGCGUUAUCCGGAUUUACUGGGUGUAAAGGGAGCGUAGACGGUUUGGCAAGUCUGAAGUGAAAUGCGGGGGCUCAACUCCUGAACUGCUUUGGAAACUGUCGAACUAGAGUGCAGGAGAGGUAAGUGGAAUUCCUAGUGUAGCGGUGAAAUGCGUAGAUAUUAGGAGGAACACCAGUGGCGAAGGCGGCUUACUGGACUGUAACUGACGUUGAGGCGCGAAAGCGUGGGGAGCAAACAGGAUUAGAUACCCUGGUA
RNAcentral lists this ribosomal RNA (434 nucleotides) under uncultured Lachnospiraceae bacterium. RNAcentral describes it as "partial 16S ribosomal RNA". It matches the Rfam family "Bacterial small subunit ribosomal RNA", at positions 341 to 792 of the family's 1533-position model. Lineage: Bacteria; Bacillati; Bacillota; Clostridia; Lachnospirales; Lachnospiraceae. The record is from RNAcentral.